UACGUAGGGUGCGAGCGUUGUCCGGAAUUAUUGGGCGUAAAGAGCUUGUAGGCGGUUUGUCGCGUCUGCCGUGAAAAUCCGGGGCUCAACCCCGGGCUUGCGGUGGGUACGGGCAGACUAGAGUGUGGUAGGGGAGACUGGAAUUCCUGGUGUAGCGGUGAAAUGCGCAGAUAUCAGGAGGAACACCGAUGGCGAAGGCAGGUCUCUGGGCCACUACUGACGCUGAGAAGCGAAAGCAUGGGGAGCGAACAGG
Molecule: ribosomal RNA, 253 nt
Filed under: uncultured bacterium
Lineage: Bacteria
Description: partial 16S ribosomal RNA
Rfam family: Bacterial small subunit ribosomal RNA
Source: RNAcentral